Molecule: long non-coding RNA, 264 nt
Filed under: Gossypium raimondii (Peruvian cotton)
Lineage: Eukaryota; Viridiplantae; Streptophyta; Magnoliopsida; Malvales; Malvaceae
Description: long non-coding RNA (GRAI_LNC003653)
Source: RNAcentral
GGGGAUUGACAUGUUAUUUUUAGUAAACUUAAGGGGCUCCUCACAAGUAUAAAUACCCCUAGAAAUUCACCCAUUUCAUGCAUCCCUCACUCACCAUCUCUUCUCUCUUUUCUCUUCCCAUUUUCCAUUUUCUUCAAAAAAGUUUGCAAGGCUUGAGAACAGCCCAAUUUGGCAUAUUAUGAUUUUCCAACUUGUUUGUCAUAGUAAGAAACGAAGAACAAAGGAAGAGCAAAGUGAAUUGUGUCUCGGAGAACCACUGGAAAC